Molecule: long non-coding RNA, 1287 nt
Organism: Rosa rugosa (rugosa rose)
Lineage: Eukaryota; Viridiplantae; Streptophyta; Magnoliopsida; Rosales; Rosaceae
Exons: 3
Source: RefSeq, a predicted model, not a curated record
AUGAUCGCGUGCAUAUGUCGAACGAAAUUUUUGGAGUUCGUACGAUUAUGUUACGAAUUUUGGAAAUAUGAGAUUCUUUUUAUAAUCUCUUUUCCUCGGAUUCUCUUUUAGAAAUUUCUUUUUCUUCCUUUUCCUUUUCCUUUUCCUUUCCUCCGGGUCUCCUUCCUUCUUUUUCUUUUUCUCUUUUUUUUUUCUUCUUUCUCUCUCUCGCUCGACCGAAACCGAAAACAGAGCAAAGGCUCUUCGGUCUCUCUCUACCUCCACCGGCCACCAAACGGCGUCGAACCACUUCCUUUUGCUUCGUCUCAGCCUUGCGCAGCUGCCAGAGGCAGCCUUGCACCGUGACACGGCCACCAGCGGCGGCGGGAAGCUCCGCCCGGUUUGAGCUCGUUUUGGAAACAAGCUUGAUAUCUCAAGCUACCGGUCACCAAUCCUCACCAAAAUCCAUCCACAAGCUCGCCUCAACUUCCUGAAACUCCCAGAAGCAGCCUCACACGGCGGCGUGGCCCGUAGCAGUGGCUGCAAGUCAAACCCAACCAAGAACGAGACCGGAGCUAUCGAUCAAGAUAUCUCGAGCUGUAGUGCAUCGUUUUGAUUGAUUCUUUUUCCAGUGGGUUCCCCUUGAUGUUAUUAACAACUCUCUAGAAGGCAUCGAGGCCUGAAAUUGAAGCUUUGACGUCGAAAUCGAGCCUUGCCGGAUUCUGCAAAAUUCUGGAAUUUUUCCGACCACCGAAGCUUUCGAUCGGUAUAUCUCGAGCUACAGACCAUAUUUUUCUGUGAUUCUUGAACCAGUGAGUUCUUCUUGAGUUUCUUAACAACUCUUCAGAAGGAAUCGAAGCCUUAAAUUGACGUUUUUACGUCGAAUUGGAGCUCGCCGUUUUCUGCAGUUUCUCGCCGGUUUCUGGAAAAUUCCGGCCACCUUCAUACUGUUCAAGGUGAUCGACGGUUUGAUUUGGCGGACGAUUCGUGAAAUUGUAUUUUGAGCUGUUAAGAAGACGCAGCGGGAAUUUAGAGCGGGUAAUCCUACAGGACAGGAGAACCAGGACGGUGAUCGUGCGGUUAGAGCAAUGGUUAUAGUUUUACAGCAAUUGUAAUAGUGAGGCGAGUUAAGCUCAUUUGAGCAUUACAAUUUGAUUUGGUGGGAGUGUGCUGUAAUAAAUAACUUGAGGAUUUGGGUUAUUGUAAAUUUGAGAGUUGUGAAGUGUGGUUGUUUGUGAGAAAAAAAUUCAGGAUGUUAGUUGUAAUUUGUUAUUAUUCAUGUUUCGGAUUUGAAUUGAUUAUUCAAAA